UAAUAGAUGUGAGCACGUGACUGCUGA
This 27-nucleotide non-coding RNA is filed under the name Mus musculus (house mouse). The record is from RNAcentral. Lineage: Eukaryota; Metazoa; Chordata; Mammalia; Rodentia; Muridae.